This 1667-nucleotide unclassified non-coding RNA is filed under the name Hevea brasiliensis (rubber tree). Lineage: Eukaryota; Viridiplantae; Streptophyta; Magnoliopsida; Malpighiales; Euphorbiaceae. The record is from RNAcentral.
AAGAAUAAGUAAAUGGUAGUAGCAAGUCACUUAGCACAGCUUUGGGAAAUAGUUGAAAAUGUGAACAUGAUGCCUUGUGGCAUCUCCCUAUAUACAUCCAUAUUCCAAGACACAAAAUCCUUACACUAAAGAAACAGGACAUGCAUGUUUCCUUUUUUUACUUCUUCACGAAAUAAAAACCGCGUGAAUGAGAACUAAAAUGGUUCUUUCUAUCGAUCAAGAUCAAAUUAGCAAGAAACGAGACAGGUGGGGGGUUUAACGAGGCCUGGAAUAUUAGAAGGAACAGUAACAGGUUCAUACUUGGCAGCAAUUUCCAGACGCUCCCAUGUCAACCUUCGUCUCUCCGCUGCUACAUUUGACUUUGCAUUUUCUUCUUCAAGCUUGUGUUGGCACUCGAGUACAAGCUCUUCAUCCAUCUCGGAGAAGACUUUCCUCACGUUUUGACUGAGAUUAAGAACUGCUUUAUUCCAGUGGUUCUGGCUGUUCCAUUCUAAAGCUGAGAUAAUAAUUGGCAUGAUUACAUGCCUGUUAUGCAUCACGAGGUUAAGGACGUUAUCGUUGUUCCACAAGAAAUGUGCUCUUUCAGCCACCUGGAAAUGGGAGCUGUUAAGGCAAUAGCCUAUGCGACGAAACAGUGGCACCAUGAUCUUCUCAAACUCUGGAAUACUGAUCAUUUCUAAAAUCUCUUCCAACUCACUGAUGAACAUCAAUUGUUUCUGGCUACUUGUCACUGGCCAAUAUCUCAACAAUCUCGUUAUCACUAUGCUAGCCAGAUUUUGUUCCUUUUCUAUGAACUGUACAACACAAUAUGCUAAUUGUUGAUGAUAGAUACCCAAGGACUUUGGCUUGUGCAGAGGUAGCAAGGCCCUUGAGAAGAAUAAUCUAUGCUCUUCCUUUAAUGGUAAAGCAAAACCACUAAUUACACUUCCGAAAACCUCCAGAAGCUCCGCAAUCCCGUUAUGUCUUUCAGUCUCAAAAGCGAAACGAUAAAAGAUAUUGCUUACAGCCUUUCGGAUAGCAGGCCUGUGCAUCAUGAACUUCCCAUAAAGGCGAUGCAAUACUGAUUUCAAGCAUUCUCUUUCUCUUGGGUCCUCAGAAUCAAAUAGGUCAAGCAGUUUCAAUAUGAAAGAAUGGUCAAUGUAUUUCUUAGCAACCUUUGCAUCAAGAGAACCUUGACCGAUUAUGCUAAGGAACAAGUCAUAAACAAGUUGUAAAUGACACCAAGCUGGAUCAAACAUUGGUUCUUCAUCUUCACUUUCACCGCGAGCUGAGAAAUACUUGGGAGGAAAAUUUCUGAACAUGUUAACUCCACACAUUUUACAUACUGCAGCAAUUGCUGAUUCCGUGAAUCUUGCAGAUCCUGAAGCAACAAACUCAUUCAGCUCCAGCAAAACUUGUCGUUUCAAGUCCUUCUCUGCGGAAUCUUUAUCUGGAUCAUUGAAAUCAUAAAUGGUACAGCAGAGAUUCAACUUGCUUACAAAUAAGCUUUGCUUCUCCGCAUUUGAAACAUCUUUAAAGGGCACAUGUGGUGCCACAGACUCACCACCGGCCACAAUACUCGCAGGAAAAAUUGCUGUCGACAUCCGUUUCACUACAUUCAGCCUGUUAGCUAUGACUGUGCAACUAUUGGUAAACUGAAUUCCAUUCCCCAAGUUUGAGGUGUUGUU